This 447-nucleotide ribosomal RNA is filed under the name uncultured bacterium. Its description in RNAcentral is "bacterial SSU rRNA". It matches the Rfam family "Bacterial small subunit ribosomal RNA", at positions 329 to 793 of the family's 1533-position model. The record is from RNAcentral.
UGCCAGACUCCUACGGGAGGCAGCAGUGGGGGAUAUUGCACAAUGGGGGGAACCCUGAUGCAGCGACGCCGCGUGGGUGAAGAAGCGCCUCGGCGCGUAAAGCCCUGUCAGCAGGGAAGAAAAUGACGGUACCUGAAGAAGAAGCCCCGGCUAACUACGUGCCAGCAGCCGCGGUAAUACGUAGGGGGCAAGCGUUAUCCGGAUUUACUGGGUGUAAAGGGAGCGUAGACGGCCAGACAAGUCAGAAGUGAAAGCCCAGGGCUCAACCCUGGGACUGCUUUUGAAACUGCCGGGCUGGAGUGCAGGAGAGGUAAGCGGAAUUCCUAGUGUAGCGGUGAAAUGCGUAGAUAUUAGGAGGAACACCAGUGGCGAAGGCGGCCUGCUGGACGAUGACUGACGUUGAGGCUCGAAAGCGUGGGGAGCAAACAGGAUUAGAUACCCGUGUAU